RNAcentral lists this ribosomal RNA (794 nucleotides) under uncultured archaeon. RNAcentral describes it as "bacterial SSU rRNA". It matches the Rfam family "Archaeal small subunit ribosomal RNA", at positions 94 to 872 of the family's 1478-position model. The record is from RNAcentral.
UAACACGUGGCCAACCUACCCUUGGGACAGGGACAACCCCGGGAAACUGAGGUUAAUCCCUGAUAGGUGAAAACUCCUGGAAUGGUUUUUCGCUUAAAGGGCAUUUAAACCAUGCUAUAGGUGUCGCCCAAGGAUGGGGCCGCGGCCGAUCAGGUUGUUGGUGAGGUAACGGCUCACCAAGCCUAUAACCGGUACGGGCCGUGAGAGCGGAAGCCCGGAGAUGGGCACUGAGAUAAGGGCCCAGGCCCUACGGGGCGCAGCAGUUACGAAAACUCCCCAAUUCACGAAAGUGUGAGGGGGCUAUCCCGAGUGCCGUCCGCUGAGGAUGGCUUUUCCCCAUUGUAUAAAGCUGGGGGAAUAAGGAGAGGGCAAGACUGGUGUCAGCCGCCGCGGUAAUACCAGCUCUCCGAGUGGUGGGGACGUUUAUUGGGCCUAAAGCAUCCGUAGCCCGUUGGGAAAGUCCUCCGUUAAAUCCACCGAUUCAAUCGGUGGGCUGCGGGGGAUACUGUUCAACUAGGGAGCGGGAGAGGCUGACCGUAUUCUCGGAGUAGGGGUGAAAUCCUAUAAUUCCGAGAGGACCACCAGUGGCGAAGGCUGUCAGCUAGAACGCGUCCGACGGUGAGGGAUGAAAGCUGGGGGAGCGAACCGGAUUAGAUACCCGGGUAGUCCCAGCUGUAAACUCUGCAGGCUAGGUGUUGGAGCGGCUACGUGCCGCCUCAGUGCCCAAGGGAAGCCGUUAAGCCUGCCGCCUGGGAAGUACGGUCGCAAGGCUGAAACUUAAAGGAAUUGGCGGG